Molecule: ribosomal RNA, 443 nt
Filed under: uncultured bacterium
Lineage: Bacteria
Description: partial 16S ribosomal RNA
Rfam family: Bacterial small subunit ribosomal RNA
Source: RNAcentral
CCUACGGGUGGCAGCAGUGGGGAAUAUUGGGCAAUGGGCGCAAGCCUGACCCAGCAACGCCGCGUGAAGGAAGACGGCUCUCGGGUUGUAAACUUCUUUUAUCAGGGACGAAGCAAGUGACGGUACCUGAUGAAUAAGCCACGGCUAACUACGUGCCAGCAGCCGCGGUAAUACGUAGGUGGCAAGCGUUAUCCGGAUUUACUGGGUGUAAAGGGUGUGUAGGCGGGAAAGCAAGUCAGAUGUGAAAACCAUGGGCUCAACCUGUGGCCUGCAUUUGAAACUGUUUUACUUGAGUACUGGAGAGGCAGACGGAAUUCCUAGUGUAGCGGUGAAAUGCGUAGAUAUUAGGAGGAACACCAGUGGCGAAGGCGGUCUGCUGAACAGCAACUGACGCUGAGGCGCGAAAGCGUGGGGAGCAAACAGGAUUAGAUACCCGGGUAGUC